This 686-nucleotide ribosomal RNA is filed under the name Trichoderma sp. 17-M-3a. RNAcentral describes it as "eukaryotic LSU rRNA". The stretch from base 360 to 513 matches the Rfam family "5.8S ribosomal RNA". The record is from RNAcentral. Lineage: Eukaryota; Fungi; Ascomycota; Sordariomycetes; Hypocreales; Hypocreaceae.
UCCCUGCGUUAUGCCCCGAUACAGUGGAUAACCAUAUAACGCCUUUGAGUGAGUUGAUAUUUGCUCUAAGCUGCAGAACAACAGAGUUAUCGAGUCAGGGUGCGAAGAGAAGAAGAGCUCGCGAGACGAAAACGGAACAAGGUCUCCGUUGGUGAACCAGCGGAGGGAUCAUUACCGAGUUUACAACUCCCAAACCCAAUGUGAAACAUACCAAACUGUUGCCUCGGCGGGGUCACGCCCCGGGUGGGUCGCAGCCCCGGAACCAGGCGCCCGCCGGAGGGACCAACCAAACUCUUUUCUGUAGUCCCCUAGCGGACGUUAUUUCUUACAGCUGUGAGCAAAAAUUCAAAAUGAAUCAAAACUUUCAACAACGGAUCUGUUGGUUCUGGCAUCGAUGAAGAACGCAGAGAAAUGCGAUAAGUAAUGUGAAUUGCAGAAUUCAGUGAAUCAUCGAAUCUUUGAACGCACAUUGCGCCCGCCAGUAUUCUGGCGGGCAUGCCUGUCCGAGCGUCAUUUCAACCCUCGAACCCCUCCGGGGGGUCGGCGUUGGGGACCUCGGGAGCCCCUAAGACGGGAUCCCGGCCCCGAAAAACAGUGGCGGUCUCGCCGCAGCCUCUCCUGCGCAGUAGUUUGCACAACUCGCACCGGGAGCGCGGCGCGUCCACGUCCGUAAAACACCCAACUUC